AGCGAACAUUGGCGGCAGGCUUAACACAUGCAAGUCGAACGGUAAGGCCCUUCGGGGUACACGAGUGGCGAACGGGUGAGUAACACGUGGGUGAUCUGCCCUGCACUUCGGGAUAAGCCCGGGCAACUGGGUCUAAUACCGGAUAGGACUCCGGACUGCAUGGUCUGGGGUGGAAAGCUUUUGCGGUGUGGGUUGGGCCCGCGGCCUAUCAGCUUGUUGGUGGGGUGAUGGCCUACCAAGGCGACGACGGGUAGCCGGCCUGAGAGGGUGACCGGCCACACUGAGACUGAGAUACGGCCCAGACUCCUACGGGAGGCAGCAGUGGGGAAUAUUGCACAAUGGGCGCAAGACUGAUGCAGCGACGCCGCGUGAGGGAUGUCGGCCUUCAGGUUGUAAACCUCUUUCAGCAUCGACGAAGCGAAAGUGACGGUAGGUGCAGAAGAAGGACCGGCCAACUACGUGCCAGCCGCCGCAGUAA
RNAcentral lists this ribosomal RNA (478 nucleotides) under uncultured bacterium. Its description in RNAcentral is "partial 16S ribosomal RNA". It matches the Rfam family "Bacterial small subunit ribosomal RNA", at positions 28 to 523 of the family's 1533-position model. The record is from RNAcentral.